UACGGAGGAUCCAAGCGUUAUCCGGAUUUAUUGGGUUUAAAGGGUGCGCAGGCGGAAGAUUAAGUCGGCGGUGAAAUUUUGCAGCUCAACUGUAAAAGUGCCAUCGAUACUGGUUUUCUUGAGUGUGGAUGAAGUAGGCGGAAUUUGUGGUGUAGCGGUGAAAUGCUUAGAUAUCACGAGGAACUCCGAUUGCGCAGGCAGCUUACUAAACCACUACUGACGCUCAGGCACGAAGGCGUGGGGAUCAAACAGGAUUAGAUACCCCUGUA
Molecule: ribosomal RNA, 269 nt
Filed under: uncultured prokaryote
Description: partial 16S ribosomal RNA
Rfam family: Bacterial small subunit ribosomal RNA
Source: RNAcentral